This 429-nucleotide ribosomal RNA is filed under the name uncultured prokaryote. Its description in RNAcentral is "bacterial SSU rRNA". It matches the Rfam family "Bacterial small subunit ribosomal RNA", at positions 355 to 774 of the family's 1533-position model. The record is from RNAcentral.
UGGGGAAUAUUGGGCAAUGGGCGAAAGCCUGACCCAGCGACGCCGUGUGGGCGAUGAAGGCCUUCGGGUUGUAAAGCCCUGUUGGGUGGAAAGAAGGGCUCCUGGACGAAUACUCCGGGAGUCUUGACGGUACCACCAGAGAAAGCACCGGCUAACUCCGUGCCAGCAGCCGCGGUAAUACGGAGGGUGCAAGCGUUGUUCGGAAUUACUGGGCGUAAAGGGCGCGUAGGUGGUUGCGUAAGUCGGAUGUGAAAUCCCCAGGCUUAACCUGGGAACUGCAUCCGAUACUGCAUGACUCGAGUGCAGCAGAGGGAAACGGAAUUCCUGGUGUAGAGGUGAAAUUCGUAGAUAUCAGGAGGAACACCGGUGGCGAAGGCGGUUUCCUGGGCUGACACUGACACUGAGGCGCGAAAGCGUGGGUAGCAAACA